GGGUUGUGAGGUUAAGCGAAUAAGCGUACACGGUGGAUGCCUAGGCAAUCAGAGGCGAUGAAGGACGUGCUAAUCUGCGAAAAGCGUCGGUAAGGUGAUAUGAACCGUUAUACCCGACGAUAUCCGAAUGGGGAAACCCAGUAUCCAAUGGAUACUAUCAUUAACUGAAUCCAUAGGUUAAUGAGGCGAACCGGGAGAACUGAAACAUCUCAGUACCCCGAGGAAAAGAAAUCAACCGAGAUUCCCCUAGUAGCGGCGAGCGAACGGGGAGCAGCCCAGAGUCUUAAUCAAUAGCAGUGUCAGGAGAACGGUCUGGAAAGUCCGGCAGUAAAGGGUGAUAGCCCCGUAUCUGAAGAUGCUGUUAUUGUGAACUCGACGAGUAGGGCGGGACACGUG
Molecule: ribosomal RNA, 396 nt
Filed under: Salmonella enterica subsp. enterica serovar Newport
Lineage: Bacteria; Pseudomonadati; Pseudomonadota; Gammaproteobacteria; Enterobacterales; Enterobacteriaceae
Description: partial 23S ribosomal RNA
Rfam family: Bacterial large subunit ribosomal RNA
Source: RNAcentral